This 253-nucleotide ribosomal RNA is filed under the name uncultured bacterium. RNAcentral describes it as "partial 16S ribosomal RNA". It matches the Rfam family "Bacterial small subunit ribosomal RNA", at positions 524 to 776 of the family's 1533-position model. The record is from RNAcentral.
UACGAAGGGGGCGAGCGUUGUUCGGAUUUACUGGGCGUAAAGGGCGCGCAGGCGGCUCAUUUUGUCAGGCGUGAAAGCCCCGGGCUUAACCUGGGAACUGCGUUUGAGACGGAUGGGCUAGAGUUCGGGAGAGGAGAGUGGAAUUCCCAGUGUAGAGGUGAAAUUCGUAGAUAUUGGGAAGAACACCGGUGGCGAAGGCGGCGACCUGGUCCUUGACUGACGCUGAGGCGCGAAAGCGUGGGGAGCAAACAGG